Molecule: long non-coding RNA, 1657 nt
Organism: Brassica rapa (field mustard)
Lineage: Eukaryota; Viridiplantae; Streptophyta; Magnoliopsida; Brassicales; Brassicaceae
Source: RefSeq, a predicted model, not a curated record
CACACGAACAGCCACGGACGUCCUGUGUGUACUGACAGACAGCCACUUACAGCCACGGACGUCCUGUGUGUGCUGGCGAACACCCACGGACGUCCUGUGUGUACUGAACAGACAGCCCACGUGGGCCAAAAUCACCCAAACUGUAACGACCCGGAUUUUCAAAUCGGUUUGGUUUUCUCUUCGUUUAGUUAUAAUAUUAAUCUAAACCGGUUUGGUUAAAUCUAAUUAAUUACCACAUCCUUCUUUAUAUUAAACGCAGCCGUAAUAUGUCUAUAUCGACAUAUAUAUUCUUUUCCUUGUAACCUAAAGAAAAGUGUAUGCAAAGCCGCCUCUUCUCUCAUUGUUAUUCACGAUCACCAUCUCCAUCUUCUCCACUCUUGUUCACGUUCACUCCCAUCUCUAUUCCUCAUCACUUGUGUUACUCUCUUCUUCUCCUCCAUUUUAUUCAUUUGUUCGUGUGUUGUUGACCGAGAAGACGUGACGUAUCCACCAACGCUAGUCAUCUUCGGAGCCAUGUCCUCCACCAUCAACCACCGUGAGCCAUCCCACCGGAGCCAGCGCCUUCACCGAAGGAGUGGCCCGUGUUACUUAUGUACAAGAGAUCCGUUUUCAUAGUGGAGAAGAGAUGUACGAGCCGGAGUCAUCGAAUCUUGACGCCACCGGCACAGAUCACCACGACCGGAGCCGUUUCAAUCUGAUGACUAGCCGUGAUCUUCAACAGUGAGUCACCGGUGAGGGCCAUGCACUUUUGGGGCUGAGAUCCGCCACUACGAUUCCAAGCCGUGAAGGUUAAAAGAGAUUAUAUUAAUUUCUUGUGCUGCAAGUUUCAUAAUUAAACCCUAGAUCUAUUAUAUGAUAUUUAUAUCUCCUAUUUCGCGUCUGUUAUUUUCCGAUCUGGUCUGCCAUUGUCGAGAGCUCGAGAUCCAUGGCGAUAUCCUAGCUUUCUUGCUAAUCAAGUUAUCACAUUUAUGGUUGGAGCCAUUUUCGGUUUUCCGAUAAGGCAAAUGUGCGCUUGCCGAUGGUUGGAUAUCUGGACGGUUUGGUGUCUUUGGGAUAAUUUAUUUAUUUCGGUUUUGAUUACUAAUUUAUACGAAUUUUAGAUUCGAUUUAUUUUGAUAUAUUUUUAUACUUCAAUUUAAAAAUGUAUUUCUUUGGAAAUUAUUUUAUUAAAUGUUAUGUUAUUUUGUCCGAUUUUGAAUAAUUCGGUUUAAUUCGAUAUUUCACCGGUAGUAACACGCCGUUCUCGAGAGAGGAGGAGACGGGUGUUACAAUUUCGUAUCAGAGCGGGGUUCCGUCCCGGCUCUGACCCGGGACGGCGAUUUAUGGGACUCGGAUUUCAAAGAUUUUCAAUGUUUUGGGAUUGGGAGUUUAAAAAAAGAAAAAACUGGACACCCUUCAGUCCAAUAUCUUUCGGUUAGUGUAUAGUGUCUCUUACUCUUUUAUUUUUGCAGGAGAAACCAAGUUUCUAUUUGUUUCCUUUGUUCUGUAUCUCGUGUUCUUCUUUCCUUAGUAGCUAUUGAGGUUCUCUCUGAGUUUCGUCUCGAAUUCGGGAUGAAUUCCAAUUAAGUGGGGAAGAAUUGUAACGACCCGGAUUUUCAAAUCGGUUUGGUUUUCUCUUCUUUUAGUUAUAAUAUUAAUCUAAACCGGUUUGGUUAAA